GCAGGGUUAGUCGGUCCCUAAGGCGAGGGCGAAAGCCGUAGCCGAUGGAAAUCCGGUUAAUAUUCCGGAACCGAGUAGUAGUGCCGUGGGGGGACGCAAUUGGGUAGGCGAGACGGCUGAUGGAUGCCGUUGAAGUAACCAGCCCGCUGCUUAGGCAAAUCCGGGCAGCAUUAAGGGCAAAUAAGCGGACGAAAGUACGAAGCUUCGGCUUCGGAAAAAGUCGCUGACCCCAGUUGCCAGGAAAAGCCUCGUUCGGCUUCAACUACUACCGACCGUACCGCAAACCGACACAGGUAGGCGGGGUGAGAAUCCUAAGGUGCUUGUGAGAACCCUCGUUCAGGAACUCGGCAAAUUAGCCCCGUAACUUCGGGAGAAGGGGUGCCUCGCGUAGGGUUAACAGCCCGAGGAGGCCGCAGAGAAAUGUCCCAGGCGACUGUUUAACAAAAACACAGGUCUCCGCAAAGUCGUAAAGACGAUGUAUGGGGGCUGACGCCUGCCCAAUGCCGGAAGGUUAAAGGGAGGGGUUAGCUCGAAAGAGCGAAGCUCCAAACCGAAGCCCCGGUGAAUGGCGGCCGUAACUAUAACGGUCCUAAGGUAGCGAAAUUCCUUGUCGGGUAAGUUCCGACCUGCAUGAAUGGCGUAACGACUUGGGAACUGUCUUAACGAGGGGCACAGCGAACUUGUAGUACCGGUGAAGAUGCCGGUUACCCGCAUCGGGACGGAAAGACCCCGUGCACCUUUACUACAACCUGACAGUGAUUUCGGGCAAAUGAUGCGCAGGAUAGGUGGGAGGCUGUGAAGCUGGGCUUUCGGGUUCAGCAGAGCCGACGGUGAGAUACCACCCUUCGUUUGCUUGGAAUCUAACCUAGAACCGUAAUCCGGUUCAGGGACACUGUUAGGCGGGUAGUUUGACUGGGGCGGUCGCCUCCUAAAGAGUAACGGAGGCGCUCGAAGGUUGGCUCAGGCUGUUUGGAAAUCAGCCGUAGAGUGCAAACGCAUAAGCCAGCCUGACUGCGAGACACACAAGUCGAGCAGGGACGAAAGUCGGAGUUAGUGAUCCGGCGGUUCCGUAUGGAAGGGCCGUCGCUCAACGGAUAAAAGGUACGCCGGGGAUAACAGGCUGAUCCUGCCCAAGAGUUCACAUCGACGGCGGGGUUUGGCACCUCGAUG
This 1170-nucleotide ribosomal RNA is filed under the name Bacteroidota bacterium. RNAcentral describes it as "bacterial LSU rRNA". It matches the Rfam family "Bacterial large subunit ribosomal RNA", at positions 1374 to 2531 of the family's 2925-position model. Lineage: Bacteria; Pseudomonadati; Bacteroidota. The record is from RNAcentral.